UACGGAGGGUGCAAGCGUUAUCCGGAUUCACUGGGUUUAAAGGGUGCGUAGGCGGGCAGGUAAGUCAGUGGUGAAAUCUCCGGGCUUAACCCGGAAACUGCCGUUGAUACUAUCUGUCUUGAAUAUCGUGGAGGUAAGCGGAAUAUGUCAUGUAGCGGUGAAAUGCUUAGAUAUGACAUAGAACACCAAUUGCGAAGGCAGCUCACUACGGGUAUAUUGACACUGAGGCACGAAAGCGUGGGGAUCAAACAGG
Molecule: ribosomal RNA, 253 nt
Filed under: uncultured bacterium
Lineage: Bacteria
Description: partial 16S ribosomal RNA
Rfam family: Bacterial small subunit ribosomal RNA
Source: RNAcentral